RNAcentral lists this transfer RNA (93 nucleotides) under Methanobacteriota archaeon. RNAcentral describes it as "Euryarchaeota archaeon (hot springs metagenome) tRNA-Arg". It matches the Rfam family "tRNA". Rfam says of the family: Transfer RNA (tRNA) molecules are approximately 80 nucleotides in length. Their secondary structure includes four short double-helical elements and three loops (D, anti-codon, and T loops). Further hydrogen bonds mediate the characteristic L-shaped molecular structure. tRNAs have two regions of fundamental functional importance: the anti-codon, which is responsible for specific mRNA codon recognition, and the 3' end, to which the tRNAs corresponding amino acid is attached (by aminoacyl-tRNA synthetases). tRNAs cope with the degeneracy of the genetic code in two manners: having more than one tRNA (with a specific anti-codon) for a particular amino acid; and 'wobble' base-pairing, i.e. permitting non-standard base-pairing at the 3rd anti-codon position. Lineage: Archaea; Methanobacteriati; Methanobacteriota. The record is from RNAcentral.
GGGCCCGUAGUGUAGUUUGGAAUCACAGAGGCCUCCGGAGCCUCAAACUCGGGUUCGAAUCCCUCAAAUUGGGCGAAAUUCCCGACGGGCCCG